UGUGGGCCUGCUCUACACCGGGCCCACACUAGGGUGGCACAAUCAUGAUACCCACUGGUUACAAUGUAGCCAACCUGGAAUGACUGCAGAGGGAAGCGCCAAGUGGAGGCCUAGGGGAGUGGGCAGACAAUAGACUAGGAAGCUGGGCCAAAGGAGGGAACAUUUAAACUGACCUUCACUCCUUGAGGCCAACUCGAAACCGGCCAUGUAACUUGGGCUUCUUUUAAUGAAUAUGCCGACGGGGCUCUGAAGUUGGAUGGGCCGGGAGAGAGGAGAGGCCUGUUCCAAGACCAAUUCGGUGAGCUUCACCCUUUAAGGCCUCUUUUCCAGCUCAGUGAAAUGAAGAGAGUGAUCGUCUUUAUCUCUUGGGGCUGUUUUGAGGCUUAAUGGAGGUCGGCUGUGCAUCACAACCACAUUAAAGCACCAUCAGCUUGAUGGCAGGCAGUUCUGCCUAGUGGUCAAGCCUA
Molecule: long non-coding RNA, 467 nt
Organism: Echinops telfairi (small Madagascar hedgehog)
Lineage: Eukaryota; Metazoa; Chordata; Mammalia; Afrosoricida; Tenrecidae
Exons: 2
Source: RefSeq, a predicted model, not a curated record